Symphalangus syndactylus (siamang) is the source of this 4715-nucleotide long non-coding RNA. RefSeq lists it as uncharacterized. The record is from RefSeq and is a predicted model, not a curated record. Lineage: Eukaryota; Metazoa; Chordata; Mammalia; Primates; Hylobatidae.
GGUACGGAGGGAGCCACGCCCACCACGCCAACGCGUCUGCGUGUGCCCGGGCGCUCGGCGAAGGGGCUUUCCGCAGUUCUGGGUUCACAGCUGGACGUCGGAAGUGCCAGCUUGGGGUACGCCCUUUGAGAGGAGGCGUGAGAAGUUGCUCUGUGUGCUGAGCUUUCUAAAGGAAGGGGUCCGUUGGCCUUUGUACCCGUCUUGAGUGAGGUGACGAGUGUUUUCUAGUACUGGGGUCGGCCUCUUAGCCCUCUCAGGUGUGGGUGGCAGGAAGAGUGCCGGGUCCCGUGCAAAAGGUGGGUUCAGGUUUGCAGCCACACAGCGCUACUCAGGACUUUUUAGCCUUGUUUAUUUUCUCCGUGCCUGUUCCCGCCCCCCGCAGCUCCACCUCUGGGAGAGGGGCGGGUUCAGCUCCAGGAGGCGGGGACUUCCAGGCUUGGCGUGGCUGAGGGGUCCCGUGGACCCCAGUCUCGGCGCGGUGACCCACUUAUGGGACUUGGCCUUUCUUUGCUGUUUGUUUAAGGCAGGGUUUCUCAGCCUGGACACUACUGAGGUUUUGGGCGGGCUAAUUCUGUCUGGGUUGGGGAGGGUGACGUCCCGUGCUUCGUAGGAUGAUGUGUAGUUGCAUCCCCCGCCUCUACCCAGUGGAUGCAAGUAGCAGCCCCAGUGAACCAAAAAUUCCCCCAGACUUUGCCAAAUAUCCCCUCCCGGGGAAGAUCGCCUCGCUUGAGAACCACUGUUGGAGGAGAGCCUGAGUUUUCGGGAGGUGACCGUUUACAAAGGGGAGGACGGUAAGAAGCCGGAAGCAACGAUGUCUUAGCUACGUGAACGACUUGUGACCGGGCUUGCCCCUCUUCUAGAAGCCGUCAGUUUGGGUCUCGCGUCUGGAAUCACCGUCAAGGAGUCAGAUCCAGCCCCGGAGAGGGAGCAGGGUCGAGGUCUCCUUGCAGAAGGCGCCACUGGAGGAAGCACAGGCGCAACGUGCGGUCUCCCUAGCGAGGCGCUCGCGAUCCUGCAGCCGCCGGUCCGGGAGGUGCUCGGUACCCCUCCUUGGUGCCUGUCCGGUAGCUGGUCACUCUCGGGGGAAGGUCGUGCUGCAGAAGGGCACAUGCGAUCACACAGAGACGGCGUUGCUGCGGCUUUGACCCUGUGGUGCACCCGAAAGAACCCAGAGGGUGGAGGGAGAGAUCCAGGAAGAAGUCGCGGAGCAGAACCCCCUUUCACUUCAGUUAAAAAGGAUCCCCUCCAGAAUACCACAUUACAUUUAGUCGUUAUGUCUCCUUAGUCUCCCCUUGGCUGUGUCAGUUUCACAUACUUUCUUUGUUUUUGAUGAUAUAGAUUUGAAGAGUACUAGCCAGGAAUAUUAUAGGUAUUGGGUUUUUUAAAUGUAUGUGUCAUUUCAUGAUUAAAAAUCAGUUGCGGCCAGGUGUGGUGGCUCAGCACUUUGGGAGGCUAAGGUGGGAGGAUCGCUUGAGGCCAGGAGUUCAAGACCAGCCUGGCCAAUGUGGCAAAACCCCAUCUCUACUAAAAAUACAAAAAAUAUAGCUGGGCACGGUGGCACACACCUGUAAUCCCAACUACUUGGGAGGCUGAAGCACAAGAAUCGUUUGAACCUGGGAGGUGGAGGUUGUAGUGAGCCAAGAUUGUGCCACUGCAUUCUAGUCUAGGCAACAGGUGAGACUCUGUCUCAAAAAAAAAAAAAAAUAGUGUGGAUUACAGUAUCUGUUGGGCCUACCAUUGUAAAACACAUACACAUGCAUGUGCACACGCAAACCUCCAGGCUAUCACUUCAGUGCCAGCUAGCAUCAUUUCUUACUCUAACCACUGCAGCUGUGUCCCUGCUUCAUCUUGGGGCUUCAUUCUCAUAUAUUUUCUUCACACAGCAGCCACAGAGAGGCUUUUACAAUGUAAACCAGAGUCUAUUACUUCUGUUCUCCAACUACUUCAGUGGCUAAAUUGGUACCAGUAGAGUGGGGUGCUGCUGUAGAUACUUAAAAAUGGGUACGUGACUUUGGAACUGGGUAACAGAUAGGGUUUGGAACAGUUUGGAGGGCUCAGAAGAAGACAGGCAAAUGUGCGAAAGUUUGGAACUUCCCAGAGACUUGUUGAAUGGCUUUGCCCAAAAUGCUGAUAGCACUGUGGACAAUAAAGUCCGUAGGCUGAGGUGGUCUCAGAUGGAAAUGAGGAACUUGUUGGGAACUGGAGCAAAGGUGACUCUUGUUAUGUUUUAGCAAAGAUACUGGCGGCAUUUUGCCCCUGCACUAGAUAUUUGUAGAACUUUGAACUUCAGAGAGAUGAUUUAGAGUAUCUGGCAGGAGAAAUUUCUAAGCAGCAAAGCAUUCAAGAGGUGACUUGGGUGCUGUUAAAGACAUUCAGUUUUAUAAGGGAAGCAGAGCAUAAAAGUUCAGAAAAUUUGCAGCCUGACAAUGUGAUAGAAAAGAGAAAUUCCCAUUUUCUGAGGAGAAAUUCAAGCUGGCUGCAGAAAUUUGCAUGAGUAACAGGAGCCAAAUGCUAAUUCCCAAGACAAUGGGGAAAAUGUCUCCAGGGCAUGUCAGAGGUCUUUAUGGCAACCCCUCCCAUCACAGGCCCAGAGGUAUCACGAAAAAAUGGUUUCGUUGGCCAGGCCCAGGGUCCUCGUGCUGUGUGCAGCCUAGGGACUUGGUGCCCUGCAUCCCAGCCACUCCCAACCAUGACUGACAGGAGGCAAGGUAGAGCUUGGGCUGUAGCUUCAGGGAGUGCAAGCCCCAAGCCUUGACAGCUUCCAUGUGGUGUUGAGACUGCGAGUACACAGAAGUCAAGAAUUGGGGUUUGGAAACCUUCGCUUAGAUUAAAGAGGAUGUGUGGAAAUGCCUGGAUGCCCAGGCAGAAGUUUUCUGCAGGGGCAGGGCCCUCAUGGAGAUCCUCUGCCAGGGCAGUGCAGAAGGGAAAUGUGGGGUCAGAGACCCCACGCAGAGUCCCUACUGGGGCACCACCUAGUGGAGCUGUGAGAAGAGGUCCUCCAGACCCCAGAAUGGUAGAUCCACCGACAGCUUGCACCGUGUACCUGGAAAAGCUGCAGACACUCAAUGCCAGCCCGUGAAAGCAGCUGAGAGGGAGGCUGUACCCUGCAAAGGUACAGGGACAGAGCUGCCCAAGACCAUGGGAACCCACCCCUUCCAUCAGCUUGACCUGGAUGUGAGAUGUGGAGUCAAAGGAGAUCAUUUGGAGCUUUAAGAUUUGACUGCCCCACUGGAUUUUGGACUUUCAUGGGGUCUGUAGCCUCUUUGUUUUGACCAAUUUCUCUCAUUUGGAAUGGCUGUAUUUACCCAAUGCCUGUACCCCCAUUGUAUCUAGGAAGUAACUAACUUGCUUUGGAUUUUACAGGCUCAUAGAUGGAGAGGACUUGCCUUGUCUCAGAUGAGACAUUAGACUGUGGACUUUUGAGUUGAUGCUGAAAUCAUUUAAGACUUUGAGGGACUGUGGGGAUGGUGUGAUUGGUUUUGAAAUGUGAGGACAUGAAAUUUGGGAGGGGCCAUGGGUGGAAUGAUAGGGUUUGGUUGUGUCUCCACCCAAAUCUCAUCCUGAAUUCCCAUGCGUUGUGGGAGGGACCCAGUGGGAGGUAACUGAAUCAUGGGGACAGGUCUUUCCCAUGCUGUUCUUGUGAUAGUGAAUAAGUCUAACAGGAUCUGAUGGCUCUAUAAGGGGGAGGUUCUCUGCACAAGCUCUCUUUGUCUUUGCCUGUCAUCCAUGUAAGAUGUGACUUGCUCCUCAUUGCCUUUCGCCAUGGUUGUGAGACCUCCCCAGCCAUGUGGAACUGUAAGUCCAUUAAACCUCUCUUUCUUUUAUAAAUUGCCUAGUCUCGGGUUUGUGAACAGACUAAUACAAUGGCUUUUCACCUUGCAGAAUAAAAUCCUACGAGAUCCUCAUGCUCUAGCUCCAGGCCACCUCCUCAGGAGUUAGAUCACUUAUCUCUCUCUCCCUGGCCCACCCUUCUCUGUCACAUGGCUUCUUUGCUGACCCUCAUACACACCGCACUUAUCUUCUCUACCUGGAAGUUGUAUCCCGCAUACCCACAUGGCUCACUUCUUCACUUCAUUCAAGUCUCUGCUGAGAUGUUAACCUCUUCAAAGAGCCCUUCCUUCACACAUUGUCUUGCAUAGCAGCCUCCCCUACAAGUUGUCUUCUUUCUCCUUAACUUAUAUGAUGGUUAAUUUUAGGUGUCAGCUUGACUGGAUUAAAGAAUACCUAGAAAAUAAAAUAAAAUAAAAUAAAAAAAAGAAUACCUAGAGAACUGGAAAGGCAUUAUUUGUUAGUGUGUCUGUGAGGGUAUUUCCAGAAGAGAUUGAUACAUGACUGAAUGGACUAAGAGGAAACCAUCCGCCCUCAACGUGCAGUUGGCUUGGAACAAAAACGGAAGAAACGCAAAUUGGUCUUACUCUCUUGGAGCUGGAAUACAUGCUUCCAUUCCUGCCCUUGGAUUUCAGGAUCCCAGGCUGUUGGGUCUCAGGACUCCAGGACCUACACCAGCCUUUCCAUCACUGCUGGGGUUCUAAGGCCUUUGGGCUAAGAAUUAUAUCAUCAGCUUUCCUGAUUCUGAGGCUUUGGGACUUGGACUGAACCAUGCUACCAGUAUCCCUGGGUCUCCAGCUUGCAGACAAUCUGUUGUGGGACUUCUCAGCCUCUGUAAUCAUGUGAGCCCAUUCUAACUAAUAAAUCCCCUCUUAUAUAUCUAUGUA